RNAcentral lists this ribosomal RNA (466 nucleotides) under uncultured bacterium. Its description in RNAcentral is "partial 16S ribosomal RNA". It matches the Rfam family "Bacterial small subunit ribosomal RNA", at positions 28 to 507 of the family's 1533-position model. The record is from RNAcentral.
GACGAACGCUGGCGGCGCGCCUAACACAUGCAAGUCGAACGAGCGAGAGAGAGCUUGCUUUCUCGAGCGAGUGGCGAACGGGUGAGUAACGCGUGAGGAACCUGCCUCAAAGAGGGGGACAACAGUUGGAAACGACUGCUAAUACCGCAUAAGCCCACGACCCGGCAUCGGGUAGAGGGAAAAGGAGCAAUCCGCUUUGAGAUGGCCUCGCGUCCGAUUAGCUAGUUGGUGAGGUAACGGCCCACCAAGGCGACGAUCGGUAGCCGGACUGAGAGGUUGAACGGCCACAUUGGGACUGAGACACGGCCCAGACUCCUACGGGAGGCAGCAGUGGGGAAUAUUGCACAAUGGGGGAAACCCUGAUGCAGCGACGCCGCGUGGAGGAAGAAGGUCUGCGGAUUGUAAACUCCUGUUGUUGAGGAAGAUAAUGACGGUACUCAACAAGGAAGUGACGGCUAACUACGUG